This 738-nucleotide unclassified non-coding RNA is filed under the name Hevea brasiliensis (rubber tree). Lineage: Eukaryota; Viridiplantae; Streptophyta; Magnoliopsida; Malpighiales; Euphorbiaceae. The record is from RNAcentral.
CAAUUGAUGGCACUAGAGGUUUUGUCAGAGGAAAUGAGGCCCUAUAUGUGUUGAAGGAGAGAUUGCAUUAGGUGUUAUGGGCUGUCCUAAUUGGCCAGAGGACGUUUCCAACAAAUCAAUCACUGAGGUUUGGGAAUAUGAAAACUGCAGUCUGGAUCAGGGAUCCUUAUGGUGGCACAUGUUGUCUGUGGAACAUGGACAAAGAGGCUAUCAAAUAUGCUGGGUAGAUCAGCCAUAGUUUCUGAUGGUUGGACUAAAUGCAUUGUUGAUGGAUGUCGCAUUGUGCCUGAAGCACGCUUUUGUAUUCCAGAGAGUCAAACCUGCGAGUCAUUGCCACUUUCAGCUUUAUUCAAUGCAACAAAUGAUGCUGACAGUAUUGACGAGAGAGAAAUUCUUCUAUUGUCAACAUGCUGCGGAAGCUUAUGCAAGUAUCUAAUGGUGGCCUGUGGUAGGGCGUCAGUAUUCAUUCUUCGAGCAAGAACUUAGAGAAUCAUCAAGGUUUGGGAUCGUGCUGUUGGUGUAAUAUGUGUGCAUGAAGCAGGUGGAAAGGUGCCCAAUUCUUCACUGUACAUUUUCAAGAGUUGCGUAGUUUUUGUUUUUUUUGUAUGCAAAUGUUAAUUCACAUCUUAGCUAUUUUCCAUAGAGUUUCUAUAUUAAGAAUGAUUGUGGAACUUGUACCAAUAAUUUUGAAGAUAUAUUAUAAAAAUCUCAAAUUGUCUACUCCCUUUUGAUCAGGCG